Molecule: ribosomal RNA, 543 nt
Filed under: uncultured bacterium
Lineage: Bacteria
Description: partial 16S ribosomal RNA
Rfam family: Bacterial small subunit ribosomal RNA
Source: RNAcentral
UGGGGAAUAUUGCACAAUGGGCGCAAGCCUGAUGCAGCCAUGCCGCGUGUGUGAAGAAGGCCUUCGGGUUGUAAAGCACUUUCAGCGAGGAGGAAGGUGGUGAGCUUAAUACGCUCAUCAAUUGACGUUACUCGCAGAAGAAGCACCGGCUAACUCCGUGCCAGCAGCCGCGGUAAUACGGAGGGUGCAAGCGUUAAUCGGAAUUACUGGGCGUAAAGCGCACGCAGGCGGUUUGUUAAGUCAGAUGUGAAAUCCCCGGGCUCAACCUGGGAACUGCAUUUGAAACUGGCAAGCUAGAGUCUCGUAGAGGGGGGUAGAAUUCCAGGUGUAGCGGUGAAAUGCGUAGAGAUCUGGAGGAAUACCGGUGGCGAAGGCGGCCCCCUGGACGAAGACUGACGCUCAGGUGCGAAAGCGUGGGGCAGCAAACAGGAUUAGAUACCCUGGUAGUCCAGCGCUGUAAACGAUGUCGAUUUUGGAGGUUGUGCCCUUGAGGCGUGGCUUCCGGAGCUAACGCGUUAAAUCGACCGCCUGGGGAGUACGGCC